RNAcentral lists this ribosomal RNA (433 nucleotides) under uncultured bacterium. Its description in RNAcentral is "partial 16S ribosomal RNA". It matches the Rfam family "Bacterial small subunit ribosomal RNA", at positions 29 to 507 of the family's 1533-position model. The record is from RNAcentral.
AACGAACGCUGGCGGCAUGCCUAACACAUGCAAGUCGAACGAGACCUUCGGGUCUAGUGGCGCACGGGUGCGUAACGCGGGGGAACCUGCCCUUAGGUUCGGAAUAACUCCCCGAAAGGGGUGCUAAUACCGGAUAAUGUCUUCGGACCAAAGAUUUAUCGCCUUUGGAUGGGCCCGCGUUGGAUUAGCUAGUUGGUAGGGUAAAAGCCUACCAAGGCGACGAUCCAUAGCUGGUCUGAGAGGAUGAUCAGCCACACUGGGACUGGGACACGGCCCAGACUCCUACGGGAGGCAGCAGUGGGAAAUAGUGGACAAUGGGCGAAAGCCUGAUCCAGCAAUGCCGCGUGAGUGAUGAAGGCCUUAGGGUUGUAAAGCUCUUUUACCCGGGAUGAUAAUGACAGUACCGGGAGAAUAAGCUCCGGCUAACUCCGUG